Molecule: ribosomal RNA, 489 nt
Filed under: uncultured archaeon
Lineage: Archaea
Description: bacterial SSU rRNA
Rfam family: Archaeal small subunit ribosomal RNA
Source: RNAcentral
CAGGCGCGAAAACUUUACAAUGCGGGAAACCGCGAUAAGGGGAUACCGAGUGCCAGCAUAUUAUGUUGGCUGUCCACAUGUGUAAACGGCAUGUGUUAGCAAGGGCCGGGCAAGACCGGUGCCAGCCGCCGCGGUAACACCGGCGGCCCGAGUGGUAAUCACUUUUAUUGGGUCUAAAGGGUCCGUAGCCGGUUUGAUCAGUUCUUCGGGAAAUCUGACAGCUCAACUGUUAGGCUUCCGGGGAAUACUGUCAGACUUGGGACCGGGAGAGGUAAGAGGUACUACAGGGGUAGGAGUGAAAUCUUGUAAUCCCUGUGGGACCACCAGUGGCGAAGGCGUCUUACCAGAACGGGUCCGACGGUGAGGGACGAAAGCUGGGGGCACGAACCGGAUUAGAUACCCGGGUAGUCCCAGCCGUAAACGAUGUUCGCUAGGUGUCAGGGACGGUGCGACCGUUUCUGGUGCCGUAGGGAAGCCGUGAAGCGAACC